Molecule: non-coding RNA, 255 nt
Organism: Vicia faba (fava bean)
Lineage: Eukaryota; Viridiplantae; Streptophyta; Magnoliopsida; Fabales; Fabaceae
Source: the annotation of a GenBank genome assembly
AUGAAGAAAGAAGAAACAGUGAAACUGAUCAGUUCCGAGGGUUUCGAAUUCGUGGUUGACAAAGAAGCUGCCAUGGUUUCUCAAACCAUUCGCAACAUGCUUACUUCUCCAGGGAGUUUUGCUGAAAGCCAGCACGGAGAAGUGACUUUUCCUGAGAUCAGUACCACUAUUCUUGAGAAGAUUUGUCAGUAUUUUUAUUGGCAUCUUGAAUUCGCCAGUGGAAAGGACAGAGACACAUUCACUUCCCAAAGGUAA